This 870-nucleotide long non-coding RNA is filed under the name Nicotiana benthamiana. RNAcentral's name for it is "long non-coding RNA (NBEN_LNC016147)". The record is from RNAcentral. Lineage: Eukaryota; Viridiplantae; Streptophyta; Magnoliopsida; Solanales; Solanaceae.
GCUAUGUCAAGAUUACAUCGGUUGGUGCUAACCAAAGAAGUCAUUCUUACCGAGCAAUAAAAGUAGAUGUAGCAGCAAAAUUGGUCUGAUGAACUAAACGAGGAGCAGUAGCAUAAUAUGUCAUUCUCCACAGAGAGCCAUGUUUCACUAAGAAGUUGUAACUCCGUGGUAGUUGGUUAAAAGGCCACGGUGUAUGUUCUGUCCACAAAUCAGUAAUGAACACCUGCAAUGCACCAUCUUUAAACGGAUACAACAACAUAAUCAACACACAUUUUCAUAUAUCUCAUACUUUAUCAUAUUUGCUACACAUAUAUCCACCACUUAGUUGGUUAAAAGGCCAUGGUGUAUGUUCUGUCCACAAAUCAGUAAUGAACACCUGCAAUGCACCAUCUUUAAACGGAUACAACAACAUAAUCAACACACAUUUUCAUAUAUCUCAUACUUUAUCAUAUUUGCUACACAUAUAUCCACCACUUAUUGGCAUAGAGAAACUAGUCCUCGCAGGCCGCAGCACAUUCAACCAAAUCCAUUGCUUUUGGUUCAAACAUGUAUACAUAUAAGGCCAGCUCGGUGCACUAAACUCCCGCUAUGCGCAGGGUGCGAUGGAGGGCCGGACCACAUUGUGUCUUAUGCACGUAGCCUUACAUUGUAUUUCUACAAGAGCUAUUUUUCUCAGCUCGAAUGCGUGACCUCCUAGUCACACUAUGGCAACUUUUACUGUUGCGCCACUGCUCUCCUUCAAACAUGUAUACAUAUAGAGAAAAGUAUAUAAACUAGUUGUAUUCAUUCGGAACACACUGACUCUAAAUCCUGGAUUUGCCUAUACUUAGUAUGCAAGAAGUCAAAAGGAGUCCAUCAAAACGAACCUGA